CAUUUUUCGCUCUAUCCCCUACUUUGCAAGUUUUUGCGUACGAAAACGCCAAAACAUGAAAAUUAGUAAAAACCUGGAUUUUACUAGAAAUGAGUAACGAACACAAAGAACGUAAAUCUACACAAACAAAUCUACACAAUUCAACACAACUACAUAGGCCCCUAUUAUGAGUUGCAUUCGAUCUUCGACUGUGGUCGAAUGCAUUGUGGAUUUGUACACAAUGGUCAAAUGUGCUGAUCGAACGAAUUUUCAUUUGGUAUUGGCUUUGUUUCUUUUCCUUUCAAGCAGAUAAUUAUCAGAAAGGAGAAUAAUGAGAAAAUUGAGGGAAAUACGCUCACAGAGAGCGAAAAAAAGAAAUAGUAAAGAAACGCAAAACUAGCAGAAACUAGCAAGUAAACAGCUGAUCGAUGUAUUUGACUACCCUGCCAGCCACGGCUCACCACUUUCCCCUGAAAUUCAAAUGAUUUACCAACACAUACCCAACUUUUUUGUCAUCUCACCCACACCCUCAAAAGUUGUCGAAAAAGGUUUCCAUAAGUAAGAGCAGCGUAGCUAUAAGAAUUCGCACUCUUAAUAAGAAUUAUAUGCGUUAGAGCGAGCAAGUGAAAAUCAGGCGAAAUUUGACAGCGAAUUUCAAAUUUGAUUCUAGUAGGCUGCGAAGAAAAACAUCAAUUUCGCGCAUAAUUUUGGAGUUAAGAAGCAAUUUAAUUUGAUUAAAUGUAAUUUUUCUUUUAUUAAAUACAUAUAUGUAUAUUUUAUAUAUCCAUAGAUAGCCAAACAUCAGCAGGAGACUUAAGCCAUCAGAACCUUGAAGAUUGCCAAACAUCAGCAACGACGCCCACAGCACAUUCAACGCCAUUGGUCGCCAACAACUCUCAACCCUACAACAUUCCAGCUACAUUGUUCGGUCGUGGAAUACAGACAGUAGAAGUCAGCGGAGAUUAGAUAUAUAUAUAAAUUUUAUCUGUUAUUAAUUUUAUUAUUAUAAUAUCUAAUAUAAUAAU
Molecule: long non-coding RNA, 1004 nt
Organism: Rhagoletis pomonella (apple maggot)
Lineage: Eukaryota; Metazoa; Arthropoda; Insecta; Diptera; Tephritidae
Exons: 3
Source: RefSeq, a predicted model, not a curated record